This 422-nucleotide ribosomal RNA is filed under the name uncultured archaeon. RNAcentral describes it as "partial 16S ribosomal RNA". It matches the Rfam family "Archaeal small subunit ribosomal RNA", at positions 323 to 746 of the family's 1478-position model. The record is from RNAcentral.
CUACGGGCGGCUGCAGGCGCGAAACCUAUACAAUGCACGCAAGUGUGAUAGGGGAACCCCAAGUGCUCAUACUUUGUAUGGGCUUUUGCCAAGGGUAAGGACCUUGGCGAAUAAGUGGUGGGUAAGACUGGUGCCAGCCGCCGCGGUAACACCAGCGCCACAAGUGGGAGCCGAUUUUAUUGGGCCUAAAGCGUCCGUAGGUUGGAAAAUAAAUCUUUUGUGAAAUCGUUAAGCGUAACUUAACGGCGUGCAAGAGACACUGUUUUUCUUGGAACCGGGAGGGGUCAGAAGUAUUUUGGGGGGAGUGGUAAAAUACUUUAAUCCCUGAAAGACUACCUGUGGCGAAGGCGUCUGACUAGAACGGAUUCGACAGUGAGGGACGAAGGCUAGGGGAGCAAACCGGAUUAGAUACCCCAGUAGUC